This 304-nucleotide long non-coding RNA is filed under the name Lathyrus oleraceus (garden pea). RNAcentral describes it as "Pisum sativum (pea) long non-coding RNA (PSAT_LNC035428)". The record is from RNAcentral. Lineage: Eukaryota; Viridiplantae; Streptophyta; Magnoliopsida; Fabales; Fabaceae.
ACCAUGCGUGUGCAUGCAUUGACUGUAGUGUUUGGUAGAAGCGCGCGCUUGGCCAUCAGAUCUGCCCCCUCAAUUAAUGAGGGAGAUCUGAUGACACUUGUUUUUUUGUUUUUUUGUUUUUUAUGUUUAAUCCAUUUAUUUUGAUUAAUUCAUAUUAAUUUCAUUUUUAAUCCAAAAAAUAUGUGACUUUCACCAAAAAUCUUUAAAUAUUCUCCUCUUUCAUUUUCUGAAUUAAAAUUAUUUUUUGGAUUAAUUUUGAUAUUUUUCAUGAAUUAAUUGUUUUUGUGCAUAUUUUUAAUUGUUU